AGAGCCUCUAGCCCUCGGCUCUAAAAUUGGAACGAUGCAGAGAAGAUUAGAAUGGCCCCUGCACAAGGAUAACAGGCAGAUUCAUGAAGCGUUCCAUAUUUUU
Tachyglossus aculeatus (Australian echidna) is the source of this 103-nucleotide small nuclear RNA. The record is from RefSeq and is a predicted model, not a curated record. Lineage: Eukaryota; Metazoa; Chordata; Mammalia; Monotremata; Tachyglossidae.